This 253-nucleotide ribosomal RNA is filed under the name uncultured bacterium. RNAcentral's name for it is "partial 16S ribosomal RNA". It matches the Rfam family "Bacterial small subunit ribosomal RNA", at positions 524 to 776 of the family's 1533-position model. The record is from RNAcentral.
UACGAAGGGGGCUAGCGUUGUUCGGAAUUACUGGGCGUAAAGGGCGCGUAGGCUGUGCUGUAAGUCAGGCGUGAAAGGCCCGGGCUCAACCUGGGAAUGGCGCAUGAUACUGCGGCGCUGGAAGGCGGGAGAGGAUGGCGGAAUUCCCAGUGUAGAGGUGAAAUGCGUAGAUAUUGGGAAGAACACCGAUGGCGAAGGCAGCCAUCUGGACCGACACUGACGCUGAGGCGCGAAAGCGUGGGGAGCAAACAGG